UACGGAGGGGGCUAGCGUUGUUCGGAAUUACUGGGCGUAAAGCGCACGUAGGCGGCUUUGCAAGUCAGAGGUGAAAGCCCGGGGCUCAACCCCGGAAUUGCCUUUGAGACUGCAUCGCUAGAAUUGUGGAGAGGUAAGUGGAAUUCCGAGUGUAGAGGUGAAAUUCGUAGAUAUUCGGAAGAACACCAGUGGCGAAGGCGGCUCACUGGUCCGGUACUGACGCUGAGGUGCGAAAGCGUGGGGAGCAAACAGG
This 253-nucleotide ribosomal RNA is filed under the name uncultured bacterium. RNAcentral's name for it is "partial 16S ribosomal RNA". It matches the Rfam family "Bacterial small subunit ribosomal RNA", at positions 524 to 776 of the family's 1533-position model. The record is from RNAcentral.